AGCAGCCGCGGUAAUUCCAGCUCCAAUAGCGUAUAUUAAAGUUGUUGCAGUUAAAAAGCUCGUAGUUGAAUUUCGGGACCAAAUUGUCGGUCGUGCCUCGGUACGUACUGGCGUUAUUGGUUCCUCCCUUCUGAAGAACUACGAUGUCAUUAAUUUGGUGUCGCGGGGAAUCAGGACUGUUACUUUGAAAAAUUAGAGUGUUUAAAGCAAGCUAACGCUUGAAUACAUUAGCAUGGAAUAAUGAAAUAGGACGUUCGAUCCUAUUUUGUUGGUUUCUAGGAUUGACGUAAUGAUUAAUAGGGAUAGUUGGGGGCAUUAGUAUUCAAUUGUCAGAGGUGAAAUUCUUGGAUUUAUUGAAGACUAACUACUGCGAAAGCAUUUGCCAAGGAUGUUUUCAUUAAUUCAAGAACGAAAGUUAGGGGAUCGAAGACGAUCAGAUACCGUCGUAGUCUUAACCAUAAACUAUGCCGACUAGGGAUCGGAUGAUGUUAAUUUUUUAAUGAACUUCAUUCGGCGCCUU
Molecule: ribosomal RNA, 520 nt
Filed under: uncultured Glomus
Lineage: Eukaryota; Fungi; Glomeromycota; Glomeromycetes; Glomerales; Glomeraceae
Description: SSU rRNA
Rfam family: Eukaryotic small subunit ribosomal RNA
Source: RNAcentral